This 3094-nucleotide long non-coding RNA is filed under the name Gallus gallus (chicken). Its description in RNAcentral is "lncRNA (ENSGALG00010026503.1)". Lineage: Eukaryota; Metazoa; Chordata; Aves; Galliformes; Phasianidae. The record is from RNAcentral.
CGGGAGGGGUGGAUUGGAACGGGUGGGUAUGGGGCAGGCGGACGUGGGCUGAUAGACAUGGGGUAGGUGGACAGGGGACAGAUGGACAUGGGACAGAUGGACACAGCAUGCAUGAAUAUGGAUAGACUGACAUGGGAUGGAUGGAUACAGGGCGGGUGGACACGAGGUGGGAUGACGUGGGACGGGCAGACAUAGGAUGGAAGGGUAUGGAUAGAUGGACGUGGGACAGGUGGACACUGGGUGGAUAUGGGAUGGGCAGACAAGGGGUGGUGGAUGGACAUGGGUGGACAGAUAUGGGAUGGAUGGAAUAUGGGAUGGGCAGACAUGGGAUGGAUGGACAUGGGAUGGACAGAUAUGGGAUAGGUAGAAAUGGGAUGGAUGGAUAUGGGAUGGACAGACAUGGGAUGGAUGGACAUGGGAUGGACAGAUAUGGGAUGGACAGAUAUGGGAUGGAUGGGCAUGGGAUGGACAGAUAUGGGAUAGGUAGAAAUGGGAUGGAUGGAUAUGGGAUGGACAGACAUGGGAUGGAUGGACAUGGGAUGGACAGAUAUGGGAUGGACAGAUAUGGGAUGGAUGGGCAUGGGAUGGACAGAUAUGGCAUGGGUAGAAAUGGAUGGAUAUGGGAUGGAUGGACAUGGGAUGGAUGGAAUAUGGGAUGGGCAGACAUGGGAUGGAUGGAUAUGGGAUGGAUGGAUGGAUAUGAAUGGAUGGGUAGGCAUUGGGUGGACCUGCGAUGGGUGGACAUGGGAUGGAUGGUAUGGGAUGGAUGGAUAUGGGAUGGAUGGGUAUGGGAUGGAUGGACACAGUGGAUGGAUAGAUAUGAAGGGAUGGGUAGACAUUGGGUGGACUUGGGAUCGGUGGACAUGGGAUGGAUGGGUAUGGGAUGGAUGGACAUGGGAUGGAUGGGUAUGGAAUGAUGGAUAUGGGCUUGAUGGAUAUGGGAUGGAUGGACAUGAAAAGCUAACAAGGGCCAGAUGGACGUGGGGGGGUGGCCCAGCACCCCACCUCCCUCCUCGCACCCAUCAGUGCUGCGGUACCCCCACCCAGCACCCACCCGCCCCAUCCCCGCACCCCCCGUGCCCCACAUCCCCCUCCCCACGGCGCCCAUCCAUGCUGGCUUUUCCGGCCCAGCUGUCCCGCGGGGCGCGGGGGCCGGGGCAGGAAUUCGGCCGGGGCUGAGCAGCGCGCGGCAGCUCCGGAGACAGAGCAGCCUCUGAAUGCAGGGAAUGUUUUUGCAGCUGGAGUCCAUUAGGGGAGGGCUCGGCGGCUUUAUUAAUCCCAGCCUUAUUGCUCAAGAGGCGCGGGAGGGCAGGGGGAGCGCGGGGUGCGCGCAGGGGGGGAGAGCGGCCGUGAGGGGGGGUGUGGGGGGCAUAAAGAGCAGUGAGUGUGCGAGGAGGGUCUCCCUGACGACGGCCGUCCCUCCGCCGCGGGGCUUUUCUGCACCACGGAGGCUGCCCCUCUGCAGAGGUUUCCCCGCAGUGGAGGUUUCCCCCGUUAUGGAGCCGUCCCCGUGACGGAGGUUUCCCCAUCACUGAGGUUCCCCCACGGUGGGGUUCCCUCUAUGGCAGAGGUUCCCCCGUUCUGGGCACUCCCGCACGGCAGAUGGUGGAAAUAUCCUCCUGGUGAAGGUCUCCCCAAUCGCGGAGGUUCCUCCCUGCUGGAGGUGUCCCCACAGCGGAGGUUUGUCCUACAGUGGAGCUUUCCUCCUUGAUGGAGCCUUCCCCGCUGAUGGACGUUCCCCCAUUAUUGAGGCUCCCCCACGAUGGAGGCUUCUUCACAGUAGGGUCCCACCGAGAUGGAGGUCCCCCAUCGGUUUCCCCGUGACAGAGGUUUCCCAUAACCGGGGUUCCCCUGUGGUGGAGGUUUCCCCAUUAGGGAUGUUUCCCCGUCACUGAGGUUUCUCUGCAAUGGAGGAUCCCAUUGAUGGAGGGUCCCCUUAACGGAGCUUCCUCCCAUGAUGGAGGCUCCACUGAUGGAGGUUCCCCCAUUGAUAGAGGUUCCCCCAUUGAUGGAGGUACUCCCCAUAAGCGCGGUUCCCACUGACUGAGGUUCCCACUGAUGGAGGUUCCCAUUGAUGGAGGUUCCCAUUGAUGGAGGUUCCCACUGAUGGAUGUUCCCCACUGAUGGAGGUUCCCAUUGGUGGAGGUUCCCAUUGAUGGAGGUUCCCCACUGAUGGAGGUUCCCAUUGGUGGAUGUUCCCCACUGAUGGAGGUUCCCCACUGAUGGAUGUUCCCACUGAUGGAGGUUCCCACUGAUGAAGGCUCCCAUUGAUGGAGGCUCCCCAGCGCAGCCCCCCACCCUGGCAGGCUAUGGGGCAGAGCAGCACCGGGAGGAGAAGCAGUGGGGCAGCGGUGUCGGGUUUGUGCAGACGUGGAGCUGUGUGUGGGGCUGAGCCCCCCGCGCUGCCCCCCGCCUGCGCUCCCCUUCCUCUGCUUUGAUUUCUCAUUUCUCUUUUCUUGUUUCUUUUUAUGAUUUUUCCUUUCUUUUUUUUUCUUUUUCUUUGUUUCAUUUCCCCCCUUUUCCUCUUUCUUUUUAUUUAUUCUUUUUCCUCUCUUUUCCUUUUUCUCAUUUCUUUUGGCUUUUCCUUCUUUUCCUUUUUCUUCCUCAUUUUUCCUUUUGUUGCUUUUUCUUUCCAUCUUUUUUUCCUUUUUUUCCUUUCUUUCCUUUUUUCUUUUCUCACUUUUUUAGUUAUUUUCCUCUAUUUUUUCUGGUUUCUUCUUUCCUUUGAUUUUAUUUUUAUUUUUCUCUCUUUUUUUUCCCAAUUUUCUCUCCGUUUUUCUUUUUCCCAAUUUUUCUUCCCCCCCCUUUUUUCCCUCUGUUUUUUCUUCCUCCCUCUCCCUCCUCUUCCUCCCCCCCCCCCGCUCCUUUCUCUCUCUCUCCCAUUUCUCUCCGUCCCCCUCCCCAUUUUCCUCCCCUCCUCCAAAGCCGCUCCGCCAUAGCGGUGUCUCCGCACCCCAAACCCAACGGCGCACACCGCCCGUCCCGCCCCACCCCCGUUCGUUCCCGCAGCCCCACCUGCGCCCCCCCCGACCCCAAACGGCUGCAGCGGAGGAACGAAACGCCCCCGAUCGGAACCUCCGUGCCGAACUGCGGG